RNAcentral lists this ribosomal RNA (497 nucleotides) under uncultured bacterium. RNAcentral's name for it is "partial 16S ribosomal RNA". It matches the Rfam family "Bacterial small subunit ribosomal RNA", at positions 28 to 507 of the family's 1533-position model. The record is from RNAcentral.
GACGAACGCUGGCGGCGUGCCUAAUACAUGCAAGUUGAGCGCUGAAGGUUGGUACUUGUACCAACUGGAUGAGCAGCGAACGGGUGAGUACCGCGUGGGGAAUCUGCCUUUGAGCGGGGGACAACAUUUGGAAACGAAUGCUAAUACCGCAUAAAAACUUUAAACACAAGUUUUAAGUUUGAAAGAUGCAAUUGCAUCACUCAAAGAUGAUCCCGCGUUGUAUUAGCUAGUUGGUGAGGUAAAGGCUCACCAAGGCGAUGAUACAUAGCCGACCUGAGAGGGUGAUCGGCCACAUUGGGACCGAGACACGGCCCAAACUCCUACGGGAGGCAGCAGUAGGGAAUCUUCGGCAAUGGACGAAAGUCUGACCGAGCAACGCCGCGUGAGUGAAGAAGGGUUUCGGAUCGUAAAACUCUGUUGGUAGAGAAGAACGUUGGUGAGAGUGGAAAGCUCAUCAAGUGACGGUAACUACCCAGAAAGGGACGGCUAACUACGUG